GGAAAAGGCCUUUCAGGCAUCCUCUCCUAAAAACUUUCAGGGCUGGUCUUCGGACCGGCCCUUUUUUUCCGCCAUU
This 76-nucleotide small RNA is filed under the name Sphingomonas sp. SKA58. RNAcentral's name for it is "Makes More Granules Regulator RNA (mmgR)". It matches the Rfam family "Makes More Granules Regulator RNA (mmgR)". Rfam says of the family: SuhB later renamed mmgR (makes more granules regulator) was a putative non-coding RNA found multiple times in the Agrobacterium tumefaciens genome and related alpha-proteobacteria. Other non-coding RNAs uncovered in the same analysis include: speF, ybhL, metA, and serC. The record is from Rfam by way of RNAcentral. Lineage: Bacteria; Pseudomonadati; Pseudomonadota; Alphaproteobacteria; Sphingomonadales; Sphingomonadaceae.